Molecule: long non-coding RNA, 1849 nt
Filed under: Sus scrofa (pig)
Lineage: Eukaryota; Metazoa; Chordata; Mammalia; Artiodactyla; Suidae
Description: lncRNA (ENSSSCG00000058024.1)
Source: RNAcentral
CCUGCAACCUGCAGCAUAUGGAAGGUCCCCGGCUAAGGGGUCGAUUCGGAGCUGCAGCUGUCAGCCUAUGCCACAGCCAUGGCAAUGCCAGAUCUGAGCCACGCCUGUGACCUACGCAGCAGCUUGUGACAACGCCAGAUCCUUAACCCAACAACAGAGGCCAGGGAUCAAACCCACAGCCUCACAGAGACAACAUCAGGUCCUCAACCUGCCGAGCCACAUUUCCCACUGCAGCUCAUGCCUGUUCCCUGUAGCAAGCUGUAUGCCUCCUACUGUAUACCAAACAGUUCUUCAGAGAUAUCUGCCUUUAACCAUUCAUUCUCAGAUAAUUGCACCUGAAAUAGGCCAGAUCACUAAAUGAACCAGAAAGGGAGGUACCAUCAACCAAGCAGCAGCUGAAUUUUGAAGAAGAGCAAACCUAGACAGGUUUAGCCCACUAGCCCAAGGCGGUCUUCUAACUCAAAGCAGAAAAAACCCAUAGUGCUUUGAAAAGAAAUAACAAAAAGCACGUCUGCUUGCCUCAGGUCAGGUCUAAGACUACUGAGGCCACAAAUUUGAUGGCAUCCACAACAAGGAGCCUCCAAGUGAUCCCUGAGAAAAGCUGAGACACAAAAUUUCAAGCCUGCCUGCCCCAGCCAAUAAUGAGCGACCACACAGAAUCAGGAGGAUCAAUGAAGCUGGUUUCCCCUCUCUCCUGCUGCGGUUUGUGUCAGGAUGGGGUGCUGAAAUCACUGCGGGCAGCCUGUCUGCCAGGACUCGGAGGGUGUGCUGACUUCAUUCCACCUCCUCCGCGAGGAACUUGGAGUCCUGCUGCUGGACGCUGCAGACCUGUCGGAGAGGAGAUUUGAAAGGAGAGGACCCCACCAACCCAGGGAUGGGCCAUCUUGGGGGCAAUGCCGUCCAAUCACACGUGGGACUGUGAAUGCGACCUGUGCAGGAAGGGGACCAGAAAGGGACAAGAAGACAGCCGAGGAACACGGGCACGGAGAACAAGCGACGGAACGAGCCGAUGAUGCACAGCGAGGCGACCCAUGGGAGAAUCACGGCUGUCCCUUGCUCGUGUGCCUUCGCACACCUCCCUGAGAAGAGCCUGACUUCUUCACUGCAUGUGACCGGGGUCUCAGCACUGAGACCUUCUUCUUGAGGACUACAGAGGGUCAGGGAACAUCUGACCACGUUCCUGGACACAGACACUCUGAUUUGUUAUUUGUUUUCCAAGGCUGUACUGAUGUCCCCCCACACACACAUUUACACUCUGCAGGUUCAGGUCUUUCUAAGCAGACAGGGUAAAAACAAGCUACAGGAAAUAACAUGAACCCAAGAUACUGCUCCAGAGAGAAAGACCAAAGCUAAUUUCAUUUAAAAGGGCACAGAUGGGAGCGUGAAGGCCCAAAGGAACAGCUUAGGUGAGAUUAUAUCUUCUCCUGCCAGGGUCUGCAUUCGCCUCCAUACUCUGGACAUACACAUGCGGCAUGGGAUCCCACUGAGGGCAAACGGCAGGUGGAAUACACUCGGGGAAAGUCAGAGGCGUCCAACUGGGCUCCAGGAAGCCCUUCGGAUCUGGGGUGGGGCACGCAUGUGGAAGGGAGGGUGGGGCACGGGAAUCCGGCCCGACCACGCUGCAUACUGAACGGUGGUUUUCCAUCGGGGGCUUCGCGAAGAAAAAAACAAGUACUUCAACAUCUAACCUACUGCAACCAUCUCACUUCCUCAGCAAACACGGAGAGCAGAAGACAGGGUAAGGGGUUGGCCCAGGACGGUCCGUUUCAGGCCUGGGGACCAGCUGGCACUUCGCACAGCAUUUCCACGGAGGGACAGCGCAUCACGGAGUCACUCAAGCCGGGGAAGC